UACGUAGGUGGCAAGCGUUGUCCGGAUUUAUUGGGCGUAAAGAGCGCGCAGGCGGUUCGUUAAGUCCGAGGUGAAAUCUCCCGGCUCAACUGGGAGGGUGCGCCGAAUACUGAAUGACUUGGAGUGCGGGAGAGGAAAGUGGAAUUCCUGGUGUAGCGGUGAAAUGCGUAGAUAUCAGGAGGAACACCGGUGGUGUAGACGGCUUUCUGGACCGUAACUGACGCUGAGACACGAAAGCGUGGGUAGCAAACAGG
This 254-nucleotide ribosomal RNA is filed under the name uncultured bacterium. RNAcentral's name for it is "partial 16S ribosomal RNA". It matches the Rfam family "Bacterial small subunit ribosomal RNA", at positions 524 to 776 of the family's 1533-position model. The record is from RNAcentral.